CAGUCGCCACGGUAAUACGGAGGGUGCAAGCGUUAUCCGGAUUCACUGGGUUUAAAGGGUGCGUAGGCGGACUUGUAAGUCAGUGGUGAAAUCUCUAGGCUUAACCUAGAAACUGCCAUUGAUACUAUAGGUCUUGAAUGUUGUGGAGGUUAGCGGAAUAUGUCAUGUAGCGGUGAAAUGCAUAGAUAUGACAUAGAACACCAAUUGCGAAGGCAGCUGGCUACACAAAUAUUGACGCUGAGGCACGAAAGCGUGGGGAUCAAACAGGAUUAGAGACCCCCGUAGUCCCUGUCUCUUAUAC
Molecule: ribosomal RNA, 301 nt
Filed under: uncultured bacterium
Lineage: Bacteria
Description: partial 16S ribosomal RNA
Rfam family: Bacterial small subunit ribosomal RNA
Source: RNAcentral